RNAcentral lists this ribosomal RNA (671 nucleotides) under Agarivorans albus. RNAcentral describes it as "bacterial SSU rRNA". It matches the Rfam family "Bacterial small subunit ribosomal RNA", at positions 349 to 1012 of the family's 1533-position model. The record is from RNAcentral. Lineage: Bacteria; Pseudomonadati; Pseudomonadota; Gammaproteobacteria; Alteromonadales; Alteromonadaceae.
CAGCAGUGGGGAAUAUUGCACAAUGGGCGAAAGCCUGAUGCAGCCAUGCCGCGUGUGUGAAGAAGGCCUUCGGGUUGUAAAGCACUUUCAGUCGUGAGGAAGGGGUAUAGCUUAAUACGUUAUAUCUUUGACGUUAGCGACAGAAGAAGGACCGGCUAACUCCGUGCCAGCAGCCGCGGUAAUACGGAGGGUCCGAGCGUUAAUCGGAAUUACUGGGCGUAAAGCGUACGCAGGCGGCUUUUUAAGCCAGAUGUGAAAUCCCCGGGCUCAACCUGGGAAUGGCAUUUGGAACUGGAAAGCUAGAGUUUUGUAGAGGGUGGUAGAAUUUCAGGUGUAGCGGUGAAAUGCGUAGAGAUCUGAAGGAAUACCAGUGGCGAAGGCGGCCACCUGGACAAAAACUGACGCUCAUGUACGAAAGCGUGGGGAGCAAACAGGAUUAGAUACCCUGGUAGUCCACGCCGUAAACGAUGUCUACUAGUUGUCUGUGAGUUUAACUCGUGGGUAACGCAGCUAACGCAUUAAGUAGACCGCCUGGGGAGUACGGCCGCAAGGUUAAAACUCAAAUGAAUUGACGGGGGCCCGCACAAGCGGUGGAGCAUGUGGUUUAAUUCGAUGCAACGCGAAGAACCUUACCUGCCCUUGACAUACUAAGAACUUACUAGAGAUAGUUU